UUUUGCUAGAAAUAUGAUAACAUAUAUUUAUGUUAACCAUUAAAUUAAAAGUAAUAAAUUGUAACUUUUAUUGAUAAAAGUACUUUAUAAUGUUUAUAAUUUUCAUUUAAAUUAUUAAAAUUUAUUAUAUAAUUAAACGGGGCUAGUUAAUAGGCCAAACUAUAUUUAUAAAAAAUUGAAUAAAAAGUAUCAAAAUUGUAUUUUGAAUCCAAAAUGUUUAGCAAAGCCCGAAUUUUCUGAUAUGGUCGAAGCCCAGUCGAUUGUUUGGUUCAGUUUUCAAUAGAGUCCAGUUUUUUUUGCCAUGUUUCAAACAACUUUACAAUUUCUGAAAAAUUAGACUCAAAUGGCGAUUGAAGCAGAAGAAAUGGGAAUUCCACGAUUCGACAUUUUAGUGAUUACCUUAAUAUAUUUUCACGCAGAUGACCAGGCCAGCUUAAAAGACACAAGUCUUACCGUAGUUUUUUUUUUGACGAAAAGUCUUACCGUAGUUUUGUUAAAGUCUCCGUCUUUCUAUGCGGAAAUCUGAAAAUUUUUAUUUGAAUCCAAAGAGAAAAAAAAAGAAAACUUUUUCGUCAUCUCCAAGGUUUGCUCCUUUCCUGUAUUUUCUUCAUAGUUGAUAGAUAUAGUUGUCAACCAUGAUUCUACUUAACCAAUAUUAUUUUUGAUUUAUUUUGCAUGUCCUGUCCGAUGGCUUAAAAGAACCUGUUCAAGUAAGGUCGUUCGAUUUAGUAUUCAUCGGAGUAAUCUCUAAAGGUUUGUCUUCGAUUGCCAGUAAAUCGUUCAUACCUUUUUUUUAUCGAUCUUUUUUCUCUAGAAACUUAUUUAUACCAAAUUUUUAUUAUUUAACAUUUAGUUUGUAUAAUAUAUAAAUAGCUAAUAUAAAUAUCUUAGAUAAUUUAAAAUUUAGUAAUUAGUAAAAUUAAUCUUUGCUAUAAAUAUAUUAUCUAUAUAAGGACUUCAUCCGAUCAUUCAUGGUAAAUCCUCAGUUACAUCUGUUUAAUCUUAUUGAUCUGCCAUAGCUAUCUCGUUCUCUUUGAAAGUGUUUUUAUGAAGAUCAAACAUAAAUCACAUCUAACUUUUUUUUAAAUCUGUCUUGCAUGUUGGAUCCGAUCACUUUCUUGCUUAUUCCGAUGAGAUGGAAACUUGUUGCGAUGACUUCUUAGUAAAUAAUUUCUUCUUGAAAGUUUAAGCCGUACAAAUGAAUAUGGCCACCAAUACUCGAAAGGUAUUAAAAAGUGUUGUCAUCCACUCUGUGCACAACAAAAAUUCAUUUUAAGAUAAGUGUUUGGAUGAAUACCAUCAUACUAUAUAAUAUCUAUUCAUUGUUAAGAAUAUAUACUACGGAAAUCUAAUGUUUAUUUUUUUUUACAGAUUACAUAUGUAAGGAAAACAAAUAAGGAGAUUAGGAAUGGAACUGUAUCUAACAUAAAUCAGGUUUGUACGACUUUGGCUUGGAUAACACACGUUGUUUUCCAUGGCAUGAUCUUAUCAAGCUUGAUGCAAAUGGAAUACUUGGAGUUUACGAUAACAAAAAUUGAAGCUUCCAUAUGAACCCAAAUAUUCUAUACUGUGAGUUUAUCAUCGAUUGUAAUACAAAUGGAUGAAAUAUUGAUGUUAAUGUAUAGUUUUAACAUUGAAACCUGCAUAAUCCAAAAUUAGUGAGGAGACAACAAAUGAAUUUAAAUGUUCAAGAGUCAGUGUUGAUGGAACAUGAUCUAAAUUUCAGUAUACAAUUUUUUAAACAUAUACAUGAUCGAAAAAGUGUAUUUAACCUUCCUUGAUGGCUAAAAUCGAAGGAAUAACUUUGAUAUGUGUAUUCUAUGGUUAUCAAAAUUGUUAACGUGGUAUAGUGUUGGUGUAAAUACGUAGACAUGUUAAUUAAGUAAACUAAAAGAAAAAGGAUAAAAUAAAAUUUCUGUUGAAUUAAAAGGCGUGGAUAAUAUCUAAAAUAAAAAAACUUAGG
Raphanus sativus (radish) is the source of this 1963-nucleotide long non-coding RNA. RefSeq lists it as uncharacterized. NCBI's taxonomy places the organism in Eukaryota, Viridiplantae, Streptophyta, Magnoliopsida, Brassicales, Brassicaceae. The record is from RefSeq and is a predicted model, not a curated record. The transcript is spliced from 4 exons.